AAGUCGUAACAAGGUUUCCGUAGGUCGGGUGAGACGCAUAGCUGUAAUCGAGAGAUCGUGGCAAAAGGUCUGACUGCUCCGUAAAGUCCCCCGCGUGCAUUGGAAAGUGGCAUUGGGGUGUAUGUACUGGAGAAACCCCUCUGGAUGAUGGAAGGCCACCACGGCCUGUCACUGCGCUUUCCGGGCGGUCGUGCCCCCCAGGAUGUCCCCGCUAUCAGUCGAAACGACCAACCUGUGCAACCAUUGCGUGUUGAGCCCAUGGGCGUCGUAUUUUUGAAAUACUUGAACAACUGUUAACAAUGGAUAUCUUGGUUCUC
RNAcentral lists this unclassified non-coding RNA (317 nucleotides) under fungal sp. RNAcentral describes it as "partial internal transcribed spacer region". The record is from RNAcentral. Lineage: Eukaryota; Fungi.